CAAACCGCAAAAUGAAGAACAUUUCAAGCCCAAAAAUAGCAGAAAUUGAGACACUAGCUAGUUUUCCUGUGGCGGAUCCAUAUCGGAACUAUAAAGAGAAGACAUAUAAGGAUGAUCAAGUGCCUCAUUCACACUAAUUCUCUUUGAAGGAUCAAACACCAACAUUUGUUGCAACAAAUCAAUUGCUAAUGGCUGAGCCUGAGGAUAAAGGUCAUAAAAGGAAGUCGCGGGUGUAGAAGGUCACAAUUUGCAUUGAUAAGUAGGUUUCCCGGCUUCUAGUCACGGUGGAGAAUGUUUGCAGAGUGAAGAUACUUCAACCCUCGCAAUAACUAUCAAAGAAAGGAAGAUUGUUUUAAUACUCGCGAUUUAUAUUUAAAUUCAAGUACUUUCAUUAGAAAAAAAAUGGGACACUCCUAAAAUUGAAAAUAAAAGUAUCUCAUAUUAUGUAAAAGGGU
Molecule: long non-coding RNA, 455 nt
Organism: Erigeron canadensis
Lineage: Eukaryota; Viridiplantae; Streptophyta; Magnoliopsida; Asterales; Asteraceae
Exons: 3
Source: RefSeq, a predicted model, not a curated record